GCCGUCAGCCGGGAACUCUUUGGCUGCCGUCGCCUGAGGCGCGAGCUUUGAAGCCGGCGAGCGGUGAGGAGGAGGCGCCUUCGCGCGUGGAGAGCCGACUCCGCCUGGACUCCACCGCCCACGGCUGCAUCCCAUCGCCGCACAAGAUCGCCGGAGUCAUAUUAUCGAUGUAAUUAAAGCCCACUGGCCUAAAGCCGGGCGGACUGCGGUGUGGUCCCUGAUCCCUACGGUGGUGGUGGUGCGGCUCAGAGAAAACUCACACUUGUUUCAGGCACAGAGUGGCAAGUUGGAUUGAAAAAACAAGACCUAUCCGAGUGCUGACUUCAAAAGACUCAUCUCAUACAUAAUAACACCCAUAGGCUCAAAGUAAAAGAUUGGAUAAAUAUUUAUUAUGCAAAUGGAAAACAAAACAAAACAAAAGCCAGAGUCACUAUUCUUAUAUCAGAUAAAACAGACUUUAAACCAACAAAGUAGAAAAGGACAAAGAAGGGCAUUAAAUAAUAAAGAUUUCAGUUAAACAAGAAGACUUAACUAUCCUAAACAUAUAUGCACCCAACAUUAGAGCACCCAGAUUCAUAAAACAAAUACUUCUAGACCUAUGAAAAGAUCUAGACAGCCAUACAAUAGUAGCGGAGGUUUUCAACACCCCAGUGACAGCAUUAGAAAGGUCAUUGAGGCAGAAAACAAAGAAAUUCUGGACUUAAAUUGGACACAACCAACUGGACCUAACUGACACCUACAGAACACUCCACUGAUCAGCCACUCUUCUCAUCUGCACACAGAACAUACAUCAAGAUCGAUCACUAGCUUAGCCAUAAAGCAAGUCUCAAUAAAUUCAAAAAAUCAAGAUCAUACCAACCACAAUCUUGGGCCGUGGUGGAAUAAAAUAGAAAUCAAUACCAAGAAGAUCUCUGAAAACCACACAAUUACAUGGAAAUUAAAAAACUUACUCCUGAAUGAUUUUUGGGCAAACAAUAAAGUUAAGGCAGAAAUUAAAAAAUUAUUUUAAAAAAUGAAAACAAAGAUACAACAUACCAAAAUCUCUGGGAUGCAGCAAAAGCAGUGUUAAGAGGAAAGUUUGUAGCACUUAACGCCUACCUCAAAAAGUUAGAAAGAUCUCAAAUUAACCAUCUAAUAUAAUUCCUAGAAGAACUAGAAAAACAAGAACAAACUAAAGCUAAAACUAACAAUAAAAUAAGUAACUAAAAUCAGACCAGAGCUAAACCAAAUUGAGACGCAAAAAUCCAUACACAGAAUCAACAAAACCAAUAACUGGUUAUUUAAAAAGACAAACAAGACUGGCAGACCACUAGCUAGAGUAACAAAGAAAACAAGAGAGACAAAAGAUCCAAAUAAGCACAAUGAGAAAUGACAAAGGCAAUAUUGCAACCAAUACCACAGAAAUACAAAAGGUCCUCAGAGACUACUAUCAACACCUCUAUGCACACAAACUAGACAAUCUAAAUCUAGAGGAAAUGGAUAAAUUUCUGGAAGCACACAACCUCCCAAGGUUGAAUCAGGAAGAAAUUGAAAUCCUGAACAGAACAAUAUCAAGUUCCAAACUUGAAUCAGUAAUAAAAAACCUACCAAACAAAAAAAGCCCUGGUCCAGAUGGAUUCACAGCUGAAUUCUACCAGAUGUUCAAAGAAGAGCUAGUACCAAUCCUACCGAAAUGAUUCCAAAAAAUCAAGCAGGAGAAACUCCUCCCUAAUUCAUCCAACAAAGCCAGAAUCACCCUAAUACCAAAACCUGGCAAAGGCACAACAAAAAAAGAGAAAAUCACAGGCUAAUAUCCCUGAUGAGCACAAACAGAAAAAUCCUCAACAAAAUCCUAGCAAGCCAAAUCCAGCAGCAACAUACACAAAUCAAAUGUAAUGCAUCACAUAAACAGAACUAAAGACAAAAACCAUAUGAUCAUCUCAAUAGACAUGGAAAAAGCUUUCAACAAAAUCCAACAAACUAGGCCUCAAAGGAACAUACUUCAAAAUAAUAAGAGCCGUCUAUGACAAACUGAUAGGCAACAUACUGAAUGGGAAAAAGCCAGAAGCAUUCCCCCUGAGAACCAGAACGAGACAAACAUGCCCACUGUCAUCUCUCCUAUUUAACAUAGUCUUGGAAGGGCUAGCCAGAGCAAUCAGUCAAGAGAAAUAAAAGGCAUCAAAACAGGAAAAUAAGAAAUCAAACUGUCUCUCUUCACUGAUAAUAUGAAAGAACCAUACUAAAAUUAGUCAGGCAUGGUGGCGGGUGCCUGUAAUCCCAGCUACUCAGGAGGCUGAGGCAUGAGAAUCGCUUGAACCUGGGAGGCGGAGGUUGCAGUGAGCCGAGAUCGUGCCAUUGCACUCCAGACUGCGCGACAGAGCAAGACUUCGUCUCAAAACAAACAAACAAACAAAAAAAAAAAACUACCAUUUCACCCAGAAAAAAAUCCCAUUACUGGCUACCUAUCCAAAAGAAAACAAAUCAUUCUACCAAAAAGAUACAUGUACUCUCAUGUUCAUCACAGUGCUAUUCACAAUAGCAAAGACAUGGAAUCAACUUAGGUGCCCAUCCACGGUAGACUGGAUAAAGAAAGUAUGGUAUGUAUAUACCAUAGAAUACUACACAGCCAUAAUGAAAGAAUGAAAUCAUGUCCUUUGCAGCAACAUGGAUGCAGCUGGAUUAUUCUAAGCAAAUUAAUGCAAGAACAGAAAACCAAAUACCAUACCACAUGUUCUCACUUAAAAAUGGGAGCUAGGCUGGGCACGGUGGCUCACACCUGUAAUCCCAGCACUUUGGGAGGCCAAGGCAGGUGGAUCACCUGAGGUCAGGAGUUUGAGACCAGCCUGACCAAUAUGGUGAAACCCCAUCUCUACUAAAAAUACAAAAAUUAGCUAGGCAUGAUGGCCCUCACCUGUAAUCUCAGCUUACUCAGGAGGAUACGACAGGAGAAUUGCUUGAAUCUGGGAGGCAGAGGUUGCAGUGAGUGGAGAUCAGGCCACUGCACUGCAGCCUGGGUGACAGAGCAAGACUCCAUGUCAAAAAAAAAUAAAUAAGUAAGUGAGAGCUAAACCCUGGUUACCCAUGGAUGACAAGAUGGCAAUAGUAGACACUGGGGACUAUUAUAGAAGGGAGGUAGGGAGCAGAGCAAGAGUUGAAAAACUAACUGUAGGAUACUAUGCUGGGUGACAGGUGACAGGAUGAAC
Long non-coding RNA from Symphalangus syndactylus (siamang), 3182 nucleotides. RefSeq lists it as uncharacterized. The record is from RefSeq and is a predicted model, not a curated record. Lineage: Eukaryota; Metazoa; Chordata; Mammalia; Primates; Hylobatidae.